ACGGGGGGUGCAAGCGUUGUUCGGAAUCAUUGGGCGUAAAGAGCGUGUAGGCGGCUUGAUAAGUCAGAUGUGAAAGCCCUGGGCUUAACCCAGGAAGUGCAUUUGAUACUGUCUUGCUUGAGUAAGGGAGAGGAAAGCGGAAUUCCUGGUGUAGAGGUGAAAUUCGUAGAUAUCAGGAGGAACACCGGUGGCGAAGGCGGCUUUCUGGCCCUAUACUGACGCUGAGACGCGAGAGCGUGGGUAGCAAACAG
RNAcentral lists this ribosomal RNA (251 nucleotides) under uncultured prokaryote. Its description in RNAcentral is "partial 16S ribosomal RNA". It matches the Rfam family "Bacterial small subunit ribosomal RNA", at positions 525 to 775 of the family's 1533-position model. The record is from RNAcentral.